GUAAUAUUGGGCAAUGGGCGAAAGCCUGACCCAGCAACGCCGCGUGAGUGAAGAAGGCCUUCGGGUUGUAAAGCUCUGUUAUAGGGGACGAAGGAGUGACGGUACCCUAUAAGGAAGCCCCGGCUAACUACGUGCCAGCAGCCGCGGUAAUACGUAGGGGGCGAGCGUUGUCCGGAAUGACUGGGCGUAAAGGGCGUGUAGGCGGUUCUUUAAGUUUGGAGUGAAAGUCCUGUUUUUAAGGUGGGAAUAGCUUUGAAUACUGGAGAACUUGAGUGCGGAAGAGGUAAGUGGAAUUCCCAGUGUAGCGGUGAAAUGCGUAGAGAUUGGGAGGAACACCAGUGGCGAAGGCGACUUACUGGGCCGUAACUGACGCUGAGGCGCGAAAGCGUGGGGAGCGAACA
RNAcentral lists this ribosomal RNA (401 nucleotides) under uncultured bacterium. RNAcentral describes it as "bacterial SSU rRNA". It matches the Rfam family "Bacterial small subunit ribosomal RNA", at positions 358 to 774 of the family's 1533-position model. The record is from RNAcentral.